RNAcentral lists this ribosomal RNA (484 nucleotides) under uncultured bacterium. RNAcentral's name for it is "partial 16S ribosomal RNA". It matches the Rfam family "Bacterial small subunit ribosomal RNA", at positions 30 to 507 of the family's 1533-position model. The record is from RNAcentral.
AUUGAGCGCUGGCGGCAGGCCUAACACAUGCAAGUCGAGCGGAUGAAGGGAGCUUGCUCCUGGAUUCAGCGGCGGACGGGUGAGUAAUGCCUAGGAAUCUGCCUGGUAGUGGGGGAUAACGUCCGGAAACGGGCGCUAAUACCGCAUACGUCCUGAGGGAGAAGGUGGGGGAUCUUCGGACCUCACGCUAUCAGAUGAGCCUAGGUCGGAUUAGCUAGUUGGUGGGGUAAAGGCCUACCAAGGCGACGAUCCGUAACUGGUCUGAGAGGAUGAUCAGUCACACUGGAACUGAGACACGGUCCAGACUCCUACGGGAGGCAGCAGUGGGGAAUAUUGGACAAAGGGCGAAAGCCUGAUCCAGCCAUGCCGCGUGUGUGAAGAAGGUCUUCGGAUUGUAAAGCACUUUAAGUUGGGAGGAAGGGCAGUAAGUUAAUACCUUGCUGUUUUGACGUUACCAACAGAAUAAGCACCGGCUAACUUCGUG